CUCGCACUGGUUAGACUUGCCCGCUGUGUAAGAGGAAGGUCACACUAAGAAAGUGUGUAGGUUGAGAAAGUGUGUUGGUUGGUUUGACAGAAGCUAGACUAGCCAGAGACAAGCUCUGGGCAAGUAUUUGAGGUAAUAUCUGGAUGUAAUUAAUCGAGGUGAGGAGACCGGCCCUAACUGGGAGGCACCAUCGCUUGGACUGAACAAAAGGUCCUUGAGCCCUGCUGCGAGACGCCCAGGCUUUGGAGGGCAAUAACCUGGGACUGUGAGUCAGCACAAAGCCUUCCUUCUUUACCUUGCUAUCCUCAGGGUAUUUUUCCAUAACAGUAGAAAGGAAUGUAGGCAGUAGGGUACCUGCAAGAUCAGAGAGGAGAUAGGACUGUUGAUGGGGGAGGAUCUUGGAGGGAGAUGCAGAUAAGAAAGUCCCGGUAGAGAGCCCUGGGCAAGUCUCCUUAACACGCUAGGACUCCGUCUGGAGCAGAAGCAUCCAUUGAAGAUGAGGAAUCCGCAGUUCAAGAUAACUAACUGGAUGAUUUUCCCGAUCGUGCCUCAGUGGGACUCAGUAAAAGAACAUCGGACAGACUAGGACUUAAGUGUCUGAGGCCAAAGCGCCACAGUUUAUGCCCGGAAAUAACCGAAUACUUUUAGGAGCCAAAGGAAGGACUUCCGUGAAGGCAGGGACGUGAUAGCUGCACCAGGCGCUGGAUGCAACUUCCCUCCCAUGGCUCCCGCUCCUUCUCUGCAGGCUGGCGCCAGCUGGCGGGGCUCACUGGGCUCAGACUGGAACGAAUGGCCACUUUGAGUUUCAACUCCAAGCGUCCACCAGGGGGAGGCUGCAGGACCUCGCUGUGCAGAGCUGAGAAGGGCUGCCACGUGUCGGAUGAGGACUGCGUGGAGCCGCGGGGUAGCGAGGAGGCUCUGUCGUUCCCCAAAGCAAGGGCUGGGUUCUCCGUGCAAAGGUGUAAUGACACGGAGAAACGGCAGAUUUUAUGGAAUAAAAGAGGAAGCUUCUCGCGACGACGCUUCUGCGAGGUAUCUGAACCAAGCCAGCUUUCCUGGGAGGAUCAAGAAUUUCAACUCCUGGAUUCCAGGAGAGCAGGAUGGAGAACAAUGGGAAGUCUGUGGUUAGGGAGGGGACCUGCAGUUCCACACGCGGACACCGGAGGGGAGGCAGAGGACACUUGGUCCUUGGUUUUAAUUCAUUUCUAUUUAUUUAUUUAUUCCUGCCUAGUAGGAAUGGAGAGAUCUGAUCUUUCAAAAAAGAAAUAAAUAAAUAAAAGCAAUCAAACAAAAACAAUUUUAAAA
Molecule: long non-coding RNA, 1305 nt
Organism: Rattus norvegicus (Norway rat)
Lineage: Eukaryota; Metazoa; Chordata; Mammalia; Rodentia; Muridae
Source: Ensembl